RNAcentral lists this ribosomal RNA (207 nucleotides) under uncultured bacterium. RNAcentral's name for it is "partial 16S ribosomal RNA". It matches the Rfam family "Bacterial small subunit ribosomal RNA", at positions 568 to 774 of the family's 1533-position model. The record is from RNAcentral.
UGCGCAGGCGGUUCGGAAAGAAAGAUGUGAAAUCCCAGAGCUUAACUUUGGAAUUGCAUUUUUAACUACCGGGCUAGAGUGUGUCAGAGGGAGGUGGAAUUCCGCGUGUAGCAGUGAAAUGCGUAGAUAUGCGGAGGAACACCGAUGGCGAAGGCAGCCUCCUGGGAUAACACUGACGCUCACGCACGAAAGCGUGGGGAGCAAACA